This 406-nucleotide ribosomal RNA is filed under the name uncultured bacterium. Its description in RNAcentral is "partial 16S ribosomal RNA". It matches the Rfam family "Bacterial small subunit ribosomal RNA", at positions 30 to 526 of the family's 1533-position model. The record is from RNAcentral.
AUUGAACGCUGGCGGCAGGCUUAACACAUGCAAGUCGAGCGAGCGGCGGACGGGUGUGUAAUGUCUGGGAACCUGCCUUAUGGAGGGGGAUAACUACUGGAAACGGUAGCUAAUACCGCCUACCAUCGGAUGUGCCCGGAGGGGAUUAGCUAGUAGGUGGGGUAAAGGCUCACCUAGGCCACGAUCCCUAGCUGGUCUGAGAGGAUGACCAGCCACACUGGAACUGAGACACGGUCCAGAAUCCUACGGGAGGCAGAAGUGGGGAAUAUUGCACAAUGGGCGAAAGCCUGACGCAGCCAUGCCGCGGGUGUGAAGAAGGCCUUCGGGUUGUAAAGUACUGUCAGCGGGGAGGCGUUACCCGCAGAAGAAGCACCGGCUAACUCCGUGCCAGCAGCCGCGGUAAUAC